RNAcentral lists this ribosomal RNA (419 nucleotides) under Chloroflexota bacterium. RNAcentral describes it as "Chloroflexi bacterium partial 16S ribosomal RNA". It matches the Rfam family "Bacterial small subunit ribosomal RNA", at positions 355 to 776 of the family's 1533-position model. Lineage: Bacteria; Bacillati; Chloroflexota. The record is from RNAcentral.
UGGGGGAUAUUGCACAAUGGGCGAAAGCCUGAUGCAGCGACGCCGCGUGGGGGAUGAAGGCCUUCGGGUUGUAAACUUCUUUUGCUCUGAACAAGGCAUGCUAAUGGGUGUGUUGAGUGUAGGGGUUGAUUAGCGCCGGCUAACUACGUGCCAGCAGCCGCGGUAAUACGUAGGGCGCGAGCGUUGUCCGGAAUUAUUGGGCGUAAAGGGCUUGUAGGUGGCUGGUUGCGUCUGUCGUGAAAGCUCAUGGCUUAACUGUGGGUUUGCGGUGGGUACGGGCUGGCUUGAGUGCAGUAGGGGAGGCUGGAAUUCCUGGUGUAGCGGUGGAAUGCGCAGAUAUCAGGAGGAAUACCGGUGGCGAAGGCGGGUCUCUGGGCUGUUACUGACGCUGAGGCUCGAAAGCGUGGGGAGCAAACAGG